RNAcentral lists this long non-coding RNA (312 nucleotides) under Elaeis guineensis (African oil palm). RNAcentral's name for it is "long non-coding RNA (EGUI_LNC065697)". The record is from RNAcentral. Lineage: Eukaryota; Viridiplantae; Streptophyta; Magnoliopsida; Arecales; Arecaceae.
CUGGGUGUAGUCAAGUACUUGACUUAUCGGUGCGUGUGUCAAGAUGGAAUUGACCACUUCAGUUUAGGUGCUGUGUACAGUCGUGUUUCAAUUUAGCAAAAUCUUGGCCAGGGUAGUCCUAGUGAGGAGUCACAGGACUAAUUGAGUUGAGCACGAUUCGGAUGAUAUCAUCAGGGUUGACAGUUUAACCCUGAGUCAUCCUAAACACAGGGGUCAAAAGGGAUAAAUUAUACGGUAACCAUAUUCACGUAGGUUCUGAAUGUUGCGAUUGCGAUUAUUCGACCUAUCCGAUCGUUGGGUACCAUUGCUAGA